Molecule: ribosomal RNA, 404 nt
Filed under: uncultured bacterium
Lineage: Bacteria
Description: bacterial SSU rRNA
Rfam family: Bacterial small subunit ribosomal RNA
Source: RNAcentral
AGGGAAUAUUGGGCAAUGGGCGCAAGCCUGACCCAGCAACGCCGCGUGAGGGAAGAAGGUCUUCGGAUUGUAAACCUCUGUCCUUGGUGAAAAGUAAGAGAUGGUAGCCAAGGAGGAAGCUCCGGCUAACUACGUGCCAGCAACCGCGGUAAUACGUAGGGAGCGAGCGUUGUCCGGAAUGAUUGGGCGUAAAGGGCGUGUAGGCGGCCGUUUAAGUCUGGAGUGAAAUUCCUGUUUUUAAGGUAGGAACUGCUUUGGAAACUGGACAGCUUGAGUGCAGGAGAGGUUAUCGGAAUUCCCGGUGUAGCGGUGAAAUGCGUAGAGAUCGGGAGGAACACCAGUGGCGAAGGCGGGUAACUAGACUGCAACUGACGCCGAGGCGCGAAAGUGUGGGGAGCAAACAG